GGAUGAAAAAGGUAGCACACAAUGCUGUGAAGAAAACUUAUGACAAGAUAGUUUUUGGAAUACACAGUCACUGCAGCAAGCUCAGUCAUGUGUAGUGCUUUUUAUAUUCUCCCUAAUGAUAUAAUUAUCUUAAACCAAACUAGUUAACCAACUGAAAAGUAUUGGCAAACAGUUUUCAUGGUAAUAAACUACAGCUAAAGUAUUAUCUAGAGCUACGGAAUCUGUUGGUGCUAUGUAAAUGGUGAUAAUAUUAAAGGGAAACUUCAUUUUCCAGGAAUUUUAAUGUUUACUUACCCUCUAUAUUUAUUAAAG
Molecule: non-coding RNA, 312 nt
Organism: Pelobates cultripes (western spadefoot toad)
Lineage: Eukaryota; Metazoa; Chordata; Amphibia; Anura; Pelobatidae
Source: the annotation of a GenBank genome assembly